Molecule: ribosomal RNA, 307 nt
Filed under: uncultured bacterium
Lineage: Bacteria
Description: bacterial SSU rRNA
Rfam family: Bacterial small subunit ribosomal RNA
Source: RNAcentral
GACGAACGCUGGCGGCGUGCCUAACACAUGCAAGUCGAACGGGGUAAAGAGCUUCGGUUUUUUACUUAGUGGCGAACGGGUGAGUAACGCGUGAGGAACCUGCCUUUCAGUGGGGGACAACAGUUGGAAACGGCUGCAAUACCGCAUAAUGCAUUUAAGGGGCAUCCCCUGAAUGCCAAAGCUUUAAGUGCUGAAAGAUGGUCUCGCGUCUGAUUAGCUAGAUGGCGGGGUAACGGCCCACCAUGGCGACGAUCAGUAGCCGGUCUGAGAGGAUGGACGGCCACAUUGGGACUGAGACACGGUCCAG